AAAAAGGCAAACCCUGGAUUUUCGUAUCUAAUUUUGACUGUCCGUUUUAUAUCGUAUUUUCGUUGUUGUUAUAUGAUAAGACAUGAUUAAUAUUUUAUGCGUGACUUGUCUUUUAAUAUUUUUCAUAAUUUUUUCAAAUAAGAUGGAUGGUCAAAUGUUGGACACGGAAACCAGGGUUUGUCUUUUU
MicroRNA precursor from Oryza sativa Indica Group (long-grained rice), 187 nucleotides. It matches the Rfam family "MIR812 microRNA precursor family". NCBI's taxonomy places the organism in Eukaryota, Viridiplantae, Streptophyta, Magnoliopsida, Poales, Poaceae. The record is from Rfam.